This 22-nucleotide microRNA is filed under the name Heligmosomoides polygyrus. Its description in RNAcentral is "hpo-miR-240-5p". Its record names the gene hpo-miR-240-5p. The record is from miRBase by way of RNAcentral. Lineage: Eukaryota; Metazoa; Nematoda; Chromadorea; Rhabditida; Heligmosomidae.
UAGGGGUUGCUCGUCCAGUCAG